GAUGAAGAACGCAGCGAACUGCAAUAAGUAAUGUGAAUUGCAGAAUUCAGUGAAUCAUCGAGUCUUUGAACGCACAUUGCGCCCCCUGGCAUUCCGGGGGGCAUGCCUGUCCGAGCGUCAUUGCUGCCCUUCAAGCCCGGCUUGUGUGUUGGGUCGUCGUCCCCCCCGGGGGACGGGCCCGAAAGGCAGCGGCGGCACCGCGUCCGGUCCUCGAGCGUAUGGGGCUUUGUCACCCGCUCGAUUAGGGCCGGCCGGGCGCCAGCCGGCGUCUCCAACCUUCUAUUUUACCAGGUUGACCUCGGAUCAGGUAGGGAUACCCGCUGAACUUAAGCAUAUCAAUAAGCGGAGGA
This 350-nucleotide unclassified non-coding RNA is filed under the name soil metagenome. Its description in RNAcentral is "partial contains 5.8S ribosomal RNA, internal transcribed spacer 2, and large subunit ribosomal RNA". The stretch from base 1 to 120 matches the Rfam family "5.8S ribosomal RNA", at positions 35 to 154 of the family's 154-position model. The record is from RNAcentral.